This 39-nucleotide transfer RNA is filed under the name Apodemus peninsulae (Korean field mouse). Its description in RNAcentral is "partial tRNA-Phe". The record is from RNAcentral. Lineage: Eukaryota; Metazoa; Chordata; Mammalia; Rodentia; Muridae.
GUUAAUGUAGCUUAAAUAAAGCAAAGCACUGAAAAUGCU